RNAcentral lists this ribosomal RNA (369 nucleotides) under Heterotermes tenuis. RNAcentral describes it as "partial large subunit ribosomal RNA". The record is from RNAcentral. Lineage: Eukaryota; Metazoa; Arthropoda; Insecta; Blattodea; Rhinotermitidae.
GGCCUGCCCGCUGACUUAUUGUUGAAGGGCCGCGGUAUUUUGACCGUGCAAAGGUAGCAUAAUCAUUAGUUCUUUAAUUGUGAUCUGGAAUGAAUGGCUUGACGAGAUGCGAGCUGUCUUAAAUUUGAAUGUUUUAUUGAAUUUGGUUUUUGAGUUAAAAUUCUUAGAUGUUUUUAUGGGACGAGAAGACCCUAUAGAGUUUGACAUGUUGAUUUGCUUGUUUAUUUGUAGUUUGUUUUAUUUUUAAUAAGUGGGUCUUGUGUUUUGUUGGGGCGAUGAGAGGAAUAUAAUUUAACUCCUCUUGGUUUAGUGGUUAUAUUGAUUUAUAUUUAUUUGAUCCAUUUAUUUUGAUUAUAAGAUUAAAUUACC